AGCUUGCUGGUCUAGUGGUAUGAUUCUCGCUUUGGGUGCGAGAGGUCAUGGGUUCGAUUCCCGUGCAAGCCC
RNAcentral lists this transfer RNA (72 nucleotides) under Dendronephthya gigantea. Its description in RNAcentral is "tRNA-Pro". It matches the Rfam family "tRNA". From Rfam's summary of the family: Transfer RNA (tRNA) molecules are approximately 80 nucleotides in length. The record is from RNAcentral. Lineage: Eukaryota; Metazoa; Cnidaria; Anthozoa; Malacalcyonacea; Nephtheidae.